RNAcentral lists this unclassified non-coding RNA (1041 nucleotides) under Hevea brasiliensis (rubber tree). Lineage: Eukaryota; Viridiplantae; Streptophyta; Magnoliopsida; Malpighiales; Euphorbiaceae. The record is from RNAcentral.
AUUUGCCAAUGGAUUGGAUUAUCUAUUGAUAAUUCCAAUAAAAAAUAAAUAGACUUGAAUUUGUUAGUAAAAAAAUUAUUAAUGAGGUUCACUGCAACUGACCUAAUCUAUUGGUAAUCUGUUUAUAAUUUCAAUUACUAACGGAUUUUACAGGAUUAUUAAUGGAAAUUUUCUGUUGUUAAACCUUAAAAUUCUUAUAGUAUAUACAAAAAAUAUUUUUUAAAAAAAAGUCAAUUGACCCUAUUUUUUUUGGAGAAAUUGUUACAAUUACAACAAAAGAAUUUAAUCAUUGAUUAUAAUGGAUUAUAGUGCAAUGACUUAUAGAGCAUGUGCUUAGAAGCGGCCUCAUUUUAAUUGUUAGCUAAACUAUCAACUCAUAUUAGUUCAAAUGUUACAAGCAAACACAUUUGCUAUCUGUUAAAGACUAAUUUUCUUGAGCUAAUCUGGCUUAGUCAGAUCAGAUUUUUCACAAGUGUGUGGAGAAUGGGGAUUCUCACAAUUAAGUCUCUUAUGCUCAAAUAUGUUGAGAAUUUUCACAUUUGUGUGCAGGACUAUUUUCUAUCCUACAUGUUGAAGAGAGGGAAAAAGUGUUAUUUAUGAGAAUCGGAUGUGAAGGGAUAGUGAAGUUACCUUCAUCACAUGGCAACGUUCCAGGAUUACUGCAAUUUUGUACCUUAUCCGUGGAUGAGCGGCCGCAAUUUGGACUGUACGCUGGACAAUCGCAAACUGGACUAUACACUGGACAACGGCAAACUGGACUAUAAGAUGGACAACGGGUAUAUGCAGGAUCCUUUCGGAUGUGGAAUCCAUAACCAAGCAGCUGACAGAAAAGAAGAAGAAGCAGGAACAAAACGACCUUAGUGUGUAGCAUCAUAUGAUGCUCAAUCAUUUCUCUUUCCUCUGAUCCUGCUUAGCAAUAUUCGUAUAUAUUUAAACCAGGAAGAUAGAGAAGGAAAGCUGGUCGGGUAAUCAAACCAGAACGUUUGAAGGGGUGAUCAGUGAGGCUGCCUUACUUCAGUGGACUAACAAAAUCGAAGUUAU